RNAcentral lists this ribosomal RNA (426 nucleotides) under uncultured bacterium. Its description in RNAcentral is "bacterial SSU rRNA". It matches the Rfam family "Bacterial small subunit ribosomal RNA", at positions 355 to 775 of the family's 1533-position model. The record is from RNAcentral.
UCGAGAAUCUUUCACAAUGGGGGCAACCCUGAUGGAGCGACGCCGCGUGGAGGAUAAGGUCUUCGGAUUGUAAACUCCUGUCAUGCGAGAACAAUGCUGGCCGGGUAACUCCUGCCAGCUUGAUAGUAUCGCAAGAGGAAGAGACGGCUAACUCUGUGCCAGCAGCCGCGGUAAUACAGAGGUCUCAAGCGUUGUUCGGAAUCACUGGGCGUAAAGGGUGCGUAGGCUGCGAGGAAAGUCAGAUGUGAAAUCCGGAGGCUCAACCUUCGAAUAGCAUCCGAUACUACCUUGCUAGAGAGCUGUAGGGGGGUUUGGAAUUCUCGGUGUAGCAGUGAAAUGCGUAGAUAUCGAGAAGAACGCUCGUGGCGAAGGCGAAACCCUGGGCAGUAUCUGACGCUGAGGCACGAAGGCUAGGGGAGCAAACGG